GGGUUGUGAGGUUAAGCGACUAAGCGUACACGGUGGAUGCCCUGGCAGUCAGAGGCGAUGAAGGACGUGCUAAUCUGCGAUAAGCGCCGGUAAGGUGAUAUGAACCGUUAUAACCGGCGAUUUCCGAAUGGGGAAACCCAGUGUGAUUCGUCACACUAUCAUUAACUGAAUCCAUAGGUUAAUGAGGCGAACCGGGGGAACUGAAACAUCUAAGUACCCCGAGGAAAAGAAAUCAACCGAGAUUCCCCCAGUAGCGGCGAGCGAACGGGGAGGAGCCCAGAGCCUGAAUCAGCAUGUGUGUUAGUGGAAGCGUCUGGAAAGGCGCGCGAUACAGGGUGACAGCCCCGUACACAAAAGCGCAUGUGCUGUGAGCUCGAUGAGUAGGGCGGGACACGUGGUAUCCUGUCUGAAUAUGGGGGGACCAUCCUCCAAGGCUAAAUACUCCUGACUGACCGAUAGUGAACCAGUACCGUGAGGGAAAGGCGAAAAGAACCCCGGCGAGGGGAGUGAAAAAGAACCUGAAACCGUGUACGUACAAGCAGUGGGAGCACCCUUUGGGGUGUGACUGCGUACCUUUUGUAUAAUGGGUCAGCGACUUAUAUUCUGUAGCAAGGUUAACCGUAUAGGGGAGCCGGAGGGAAACCGAGUCUUAAUUGGGCGUUAAGUUGCAGGGUAUAGACCCGAAACCCGGUGAUCUAGCCAUGGGCAGGUUGAAGGUUGGGUAACACUAACUGGAGGACCGAACCGACUAAUGUUGAAAAAUUAGCGGAUGACCUGUGGCUGGGGGUGAAAGGCCAAUCAAACCGGGAGAUAGCUGGUUCUCCCCGAAAGCUAUUUAGGUAGCGCCUCGUGAAUUCAUCUCCGGGGGUAGAGCACUGUUUCGGCUAGGGGGCCAUCCCGGCUUACCAACCCGAUGCAAACUGCGAAUACCGGAGAAUGUUAUCACGGGAGACACACGGCGGGUGCUAACGUCCGUCGUGAAGAGGGAAACAACCCAGACCGCCAGCUAAGGUCCCAAAGUCAUGGUUAAGUGGGAAACGAUGUGGGAAGGCCCAGACAGCCAGGAUGUUGGCUUAGAAGCAGCCAUCAUUUAAAGAAAGCGUAAUAGCUCACUGGUCGAGUCGGCCUGCGCGGAAGAUGUAACGGGGCUAAACCAUGCACCGAAGCUGCGGCAGCGAACGUAUCACCCAAGACAACUUUGCGGAGUUGACGAUUGACGGAGCGAAGCGACGUCAAAGCGUUCAUUAAAGUCGAGUUGGCUUAGGGAUACGUUCGUUGGGUAGGGGAGCGUUCUGUAAGCCUGUGAAGGUGGCCUGUGAGGGUUGCUGGAGGUAUCAGAAGUGCGAAUGCUGACAUAAGUAACGAUAAAGCGGGUGAAAAGCCCGCUCGCCGGAAGACCAAGGGUUCCUGUCCAACGUUAAUCGGGGCAGGGUGAGUCGACCCCUAAGGCGAGGCCGAAAGGCGUAGUCGAUGGGAAACGGGUUAAUAUUCCCGUACUUGGUGUUACUGCGAAGGGGGGACGGAGAAGGCUAUGUUGGCCGGGCGACGGUUGUCCCGGUUUAAGCGUGUAGGUGUGUGUUCCAGGUAAAUCCGGUUCACUUUAACACUGAGGCGUGACGACGAGGCACUACGGUGCUGAAGCAACAAAUGCCCUGCUUCCAGGAAAAGCCUCUAAGCAUCAGGUAACAUCAAAUCGUACCCCAAACCGACACAGGUGGUCAGGUAGAGAAUACCAAGGCGCUUGAGAGAACUCGGGUGAAGGAACUAGGCAAAAUGGUGCCGUAACUUCGGGAGAAGGCACGCUGACACGUAGGUGAAGUGAUUUACUCAUGGAGCUGAAGUCAGUCGAAGAUACCAGCUGGCUGCAACUGUUUAUUAAAAACACAGCACUGUGCAAACACGAAAGUGGACGUAUACGGUGUGACGCCUGCCCGGUGCCGGAAGGUUAAUUGAUGGGGUCAGCGCAAGCGAAGCUCCUGAUCGAAGCCCCGGUAAACGGCGGCCGUAACUAUAACGGUCCUAAGGUAGCGAAAUUCCUUGUCGGGUAAGUUCCGACCUGCACGAAUGGCGUAAUGAUGGCCAGGCUGUCUCCACCCGAGACUCAGUGAAAUUGAACUCGCUGUGAAGAUGCAGUGUACCCGCGGCAAGACGGAAAGACCCCGUGAACCUUUACUAUAGCUUGACACUGAACAUUGAGCCUUGAUGUGUAGGAUAGGUGGGAGGCUUUGAAGUGUGGACGCCAGUCUGCAUGGAGCCGACCUUGAAAUACCACCCUUUAAUGUUUGAUGUUCUAACGUGGACCCGUUACCCGGGUUGCGGACAGUGUCUGGUGGGUAGUUUGACUGGGGCGGUCUCCUCCUAAAGAGUAACGGAGGAGCACGAAGGUUGGCUAAUCCUGGUCGGACAUCAGGAGGUUAGUGCAAUGGCAUAAGCCAGCUUGACUGCGAGCGUGACGGCGCGAGCAGGUGCGAAAGCAGGUCAUAGUGAUCCGGUGGUUCUGAAUGGAAGGGCCAUCGCUCAACGGAUAAAAGGUACUCCGGGGAUAACAGGCUGAUACCGCCCAAGAGUUCAUAUCGACGGCGGUGUUUGGCACCUCGAUGUCGGCUCAUCACAUCCUGGGGCUGAAGUAGGUCCCAAGGGUAUGGCUGUUCGCCAUUUAAAGUGGUACGCGAGCUGGGUUUAGAACGUCGUGAGACAGUUCGGUCCCUAUCUGCCGUGGGCGCUGGAGAACUGAGGGGGGCUGCUCCUAGUACGAGAGGACCGGAGUGGACGCAUCACUGGUGUUCGGGUUGUCAUGCCAAUGGCACUGCCCGGUAGCUAAAUGCGGAAGAGAUAAGUGCUGAAAGCAUCUAAGCACGAAACUUGCCCCGAGAUGAGUUCUCCCUGAGACUUAGAGUCUCCUGAAGGAACGUUGAAGACGACGACGUUGAUAGGCCGGGUGUGUAAGCGCAGCGAUGCGUUGAGCUAACCGGUACUAAUGAACCGUGAGGCUUAACCUUACAACGCCGAAG
This 3011-nucleotide ribosomal RNA is filed under the name Salmonella enterica subsp. enterica serovar Hadar. RNAcentral's name for it is "23S ribosomal RNA". It matches the Rfam family "Bacterial large subunit ribosomal RNA". Lineage: Bacteria; Pseudomonadati; Pseudomonadota; Gammaproteobacteria; Enterobacterales; Enterobacteriaceae. The record is from RNAcentral.